Callorhinus ursinus (northern fur seal) is the source of this 541-nucleotide long non-coding RNA. RefSeq lists it as uncharacterized. Lineage: Eukaryota; Metazoa; Chordata; Mammalia; Carnivora; Otariidae. The record is from RefSeq and is a predicted model, not a curated record.
AUUGCCUUACGAGAAUAACAGGAUUUUUUAAGUUCUGAUGGUAUCUACUUUACCCACACAAACGGAUCUCUUAAAGAAAUUGUUUUGUCCUAAUGUGUCAAAGGGAAUUUUGCCUUUACAAAAGCAAUCAGCUUAGGGAGAAGUUAAAGUAGUAAGAAAUGAAAAAUCGGUACCAUUUGAUCCACAAGACAAGUUUGCUUUUUCACUUAAAAAAUCCUGAAUAUAUUUUUUAAAGCUUUUAAAAAUGAAAAUAAAAAGUGCUACAGGAGUUUGGUUCAACUUUGUCAACCAAGAAAGAAUUCACUGAGAUUUCGAGCAAACAGGUGCUCUUUCAUCUGAUGCGAGAUGCCAUUACAGUAGAGUGAUGAAUUCUGUUCCUCAAUUCAAUAACUAUUCAAGGCAAGGACUCAACCUCCACCCCACAGUUUCUAAGAGUGAUUUGAACGAGCUAGGCAUAUAGUGGUGAACAGGACAGCUGGGCUUUCUACUCUUACGGAACCUACAUUCCACCAGGAAGAAACGAACAGUAAGCAAAUAGAUA